This 1388-nucleotide long non-coding RNA is filed under the name Malus domestica (apple). Its description in RNAcentral is "long non-coding RNA (MDOM_LNC011174)". The record is from RNAcentral. Lineage: Eukaryota; Viridiplantae; Streptophyta; Magnoliopsida; Rosales; Rosaceae.
AUUGUAGUUCAGGAAUAACCUGUGGAGUACACGAAUAAGUGGUAGUCCAAUUUUACAUAUUCCUCUUUUCCACGCACUCUUAACUAACCCACAACCUACCAAAAUAAAUUUGGCUUUGAUUGUCUUAAUUGCCAACAUGCCCCAACGAAUGAGCUGGACAACGCUCCAUUGGUUUCUUUUGUUAGAAAAACUGCACUGAACACCUCAUGCUUUCUCUACAGGUAAAUCUAAUUCUGAGUCCAAAGCUCUAGGAAUUCAUCAAUAACAAACUUCUCAUACAUAGCUCUAGGAAUCCAUCAAUAACAAACUUCUCAUAUAUCUCACAAUGCACAUACAAAAUCCCAGCUACCGAAAACUCACCAAAAACAUCAUUAAACUUCAAAUCCAUAAACUUCAUCGGAAAAACAAACAAUAAAAUAAAAACAUACCGGCAUCAUCAUCAUCCAUGUCAUUAGUUUCUUCUUCAGAGUGAAAUCGUUUCAGAAUGUCGAGAUUUUUCUGUUUCGUUUCAUCAUGGGCCCCAAUUGCCCCAGCUCCCCACCACAUUCUCGCGCAUAAACAAUUCGGUACACCUGAGACUGCUCAAUCAAAUGAAAUCACAGAACAAUCAAACACAAAAUCACAACAAAAAUAAAUAAAAUAAAAUAAAUCUGUACAAAUUUGCAUACGUACCUUAUAGCAGUGCAGCGGUAGUGUGAGUUUCAUCAGGGAUAUGUGUACUGCAAAAAGUAAAGAUAACAAAUUUAUCAAUCUUAAAUUCUUUACCUUGGCUUUUGAUUGAAUAAAAUCAUCUAAAUUAAGAGGCCUUAACUCCUCCAAUUGGAUUUAUCUCUUAUUGGUAUGGGGGUAUGAACUGUGAUAGGAAGUGUAAAUUUAAAAUGGUGAUUGAAUCACCCAUUUAUUAAUGGAACCUAGAGAAGAAAAAAAAAAACGCAGAGAGAGAGAAUGGUCCAUAUGGCUACAGAGAAGCUGGGAGAAAAUUAACCCAAAAAAAAAAAAUAAAAAAAAAAUAUAUAUAUAUAUAUAUAAUUUUUUUUUUAAUUUAACCCUAAUUCCAACAAAAUGGUGAUAGCAAACUGAAGAAUUUUAAACUCACAAAAUUAAAAUUUUUACAAAGUAGGCCGAGAUUACCUAUAAAUGGUGAUUGCAUUGUAUUUUUGCCCCUCGGAGCAUUGUAUUGUAUCAGAAAAAACUUCAAGAAGCAAUCCAUCUUAAGCAACGCAACCAAAAAUCAAGUUUAUGCAAUAAAAUUUAAUUUUAUUGUUAUGGACAAAUACUGUAAGUCUAUAACUGAGGCUGCAUACCAAUGAGUUUUGCAAGUCCCAAAUAAUCUGCAAGGAACAAAGAAAAUGAAAAGAGUGAAAAAUUAGAACUGGCUUGGGGAUUUU